GACCUCGUCCGCGGGGAGACAACCCGCCAAAUUUAAGCAUAUUAAUAAGCGGAGGAAAAGAAACCAACCGGGAUUCCCCGAGUAAGGGCGACUGAAAGGGGACCAGCCCAGCGCAUAACCUCGCGGUCCUUUACGGCCGUCGAGGGGUGUUGCGUUUCGGUGGAUCCGUACCGCUCGAGCUGCUCACCGCCUAAGUCAUUGCUUGAAUGCAGCCCCGAGGAGGGUGGUAGGCCCGUGUGGCGGCGCCUGUAAAAAGGUUUUAGGCAGCUUGGGCGGAGGGGUCUUUACCGUAGAGUCGGGUUGCUUAGUACUGCAGCCCUAAGUAGGUGGUAAACUCCAUCUAAGGCUAAAUA
This 353-nucleotide ribosomal RNA is filed under the name Palaemon cf. modestus Taihu Lake. Its description in RNAcentral is "eukaryotic LSU rRNA". It matches the Rfam family "Eukaryotic large subunit ribosomal RNA", at positions 1 to 322 of the family's 3401-position model. The record is from RNAcentral. Lineage: Eukaryota; Metazoa; Arthropoda; Malacostraca; Decapoda; Palaemonidae.